Molecule: ribosomal RNA, 502 nt
Filed under: uncultured bacterium
Lineage: Bacteria
Description: partial 16S ribosomal RNA
Rfam family: Bacterial small subunit ribosomal RNA
Source: RNAcentral
AUUGAACGCUGGCGGCAGGCUUAACACAUGCAAGUCGAGCGGAGCGAGGGUGCUUGCACCUUAGCUUAGCGGCGGACGGGUGAGUAAUGCUUAGGAAUCCGCCUAUUAGUGGGGGACAACAUUCCGAAAGGGAUGCUAAUACCGCAUACGCCCUACGGGGGAAAGCAGGGGAUCUUCGGACCUUGCGCUAAUAGAUGAGCCUAAGUCGGAUUAGCUAGUUGGUGGGGUAAAGGCCUACCAAGGCGACGAUCUGUAGCGGGUCUGAGAGGAUGAUCCGCCACACUGGGACUGAGACACGGCCCAGACUCCUACGGGAGGCAGCAGUGGGGAAUAUUGGACAAUGGGCGGAAGCCUGAUCCAGCCAUGCCGCGUGUGUGAAGAAGGCCUUUUGGUUGUAAAGCACUUUAAGCGAGGAGGAGGCUACUUAGAUUAAUACUCUGGGAUAGUGGACGUUACUCGCAGAAUAAGCACCGGCUAACUCUGUGCCAGCAGCCGCCGCCAU